Etheostoma spectabile (orangethroat darter) is the source of this 121-nucleotide long non-coding RNA. RefSeq lists it as uncharacterized. NCBI's taxonomy places the organism in Eukaryota, Metazoa, Chordata, Actinopteri, Perciformes, Percidae. The record is from RefSeq and is a predicted model, not a curated record. The transcript has 3 exons.
UAAUGUCUCAUUUGCAUAUCUACACAUAACAUUUGAGAAAACGUAAUCCAAAAAAUAAUUGUCUUAAUGUAAGUAAUCAACUGGGUGUUUCAUGGUGAUAUCUAUAUAUGUAAUGUCUUCA